CUUGGCUCUUGUGCACUACCACAGCUUCUUUCUGUUCUUGGAAUAAUUUGCUUAACCUUCAUCCAUGACUAGCAUCAAUGAAGUCUGCAUACCUAACCUUAUAAAAACAGGUAUAUGUUCUUAUUUGAAAAGGGCUUUGAUUUAAGUGGGCAAAAUGAGUUUAUGAAUAACUAAUGCUAUGUUAAGUCCCCGUCGGUUUUAUCUGUUUAUUUGUGCUGAAGCGGAACAUAAAAUAUUCAUGACAAGCCUUCUCAAAUAUAUAUUAUGCAGUCAUAGUAUUAAAUAUGUUUUAUGCUUACUUGAUGCUCCUAGCUUUUACCAAAUUCAAGUCCCACUCUUCAAGGUUUGAGGAAUCUGUUCCACACCGGGUGUCAUUAAGGAGCAGUGAACAGUCGAUAUGCUUCAACUGGAGGCGCUUGUACGUUCCUGUGCUGCACUAGCUCAAUGAAAGGUUAAAACGCUGUUUGAUCCGAUGACACAGCUAACCUUGAACAUAGUUGAAGACACUAUAAAAUGGCCCAUCAUUACUUGGUGGCAAAAAGCUUUGAAGCUUUCCACUGUUUAGUUAGAUUCAUGCUUGUUAAAGUCUAAAUUAAAGCAACAGUUUUUUUCCUUAGUGUAAUCGUUCCUUCGCUUUACACUCAUUAAAGAAUUCAUCCGUAAUGUUCGUUCAGCUGGAAGUGAUGCAGUAAAAAAAGAAAGAAAAAAAGAGAAAAAAAAGAGAGAAAGAAAAAUAAAAAUCACAGUACUCCUGUGUAAAACUACUUCCCAGAUUUAUCUCAAUUUAAUGAGGCUCCGGGUUUCUGAAUUAAUCAGAUCAAGUGGAUUUCCACCAACUUUAUGACCACUUUAAAACAAAAUUCCCCUUUUCCCCAAACAGUGUUUAUGUGCUGAGCUGCAGAACGAGUGCAGGAACAAAAGGAGGAAAUUUUGUCUCGAAAACACAGGAACUUAAAAAACAAACAAACAAAAAAAAAAGUGUUAACUUUACCACCUCAGGCAGCUGAAACCUCAUUAGCUGUAGAUAAACCUACGAAUGUAUUCUGACAAAGACUGAGGACUGACGAUUUUGUCUUGCAUCAUUUCCAUAAAAGCAAGUUAAGAAAUAGUUACAGCAAGUAAAAACAGAUUAUUAUGUUUGUAUGGAUUUCAUGGCCAUUGCAUUAAGAAAGCCAUUAUAAAAUAAGAUAUUUUCAUGUAUUUCUUGUGAACCACUUUCAUAUAAUGUAACUUGGAAAACCUCAAAACUUAAGAGCAUAAGUUCAUGAAGUCUAUCAGAGGUGGAGCCGGACAUUUUAUACACCCGGGGCUUAGCCCUAAAGGGUAGUAUAUAUAUAUAUAUAUGCAUGUGGGAUUUGGGGGAGGGUUAACAAACCUAAAAGGAUACAAUAGUUACUAGAUACAUGCUCUGAUGAGUUUUGGCAAACAACCAUUUGACUAACAUGUCUGUCUCACCUGGCUCUUGUUCCAUCUCUGUUCUGUCCUCAUUCUCCUCUCCAUUGCCCUCUGUUCCUCUCUCUCCCUCUUCGUGCUACAAAUCAAGCCAAACACCAACAUCAUCAAAUAUACAGUUGAAACCAGGUAUUUACAUACUCUUCAGAUAAAAACACACACUUUUUUAAUUGUAAAACAUCAAAUCAGAUUAAAUGCGUUUUUUUUAGAUUUAUAAAUAUAAAAAACAUAUUUGUUAAAUUUAAGAGUAAAGAGAGAAAUUCUAUGUAUUCCUUAAUUGCAAAUGGCACCCAAAUUUUUUCAAAAUUGAUCCACACUUAUGGAGGUCCACAAUUCUUUUCCUGGUGUCUUGGUUGAUAUCUCUUGAUUUUCCCAUGUCAAAGAAACAGGCUCUGUGUUUUGGGGGUGCCUUAUAUCAGCUGUCCCCAAUCCCCGGACCACGGACCGGUACUGGAUGCGUGAGUCGUUUGGUACUGGGCCGCAAGAUUUGGGGCUCGGGUGUGAAAUCUAUGGUUUUCAUCGGGUUUUUUUUCGUUCUUUUUUUUUUUUUUAUCGUUUUCCCUGGGUCUUUCCCCCUGUGUUAUGAAUAAAUCUUUUUUUGGGUACCGGUAUUGGUUUUAUUUUGUUGUAUUUACAUAAGGCUUAUAUGCAUCCAAAGGUGUGCCACCAAUUUACUCAAAUGGACUCUACUAACCUAUCAGAAGCUUCUUAAGCUCAGAAUGGAAUCGCCUGGAGUUCUCUUAUUAAUUAAAGACAGAAUGAACUUAGUGUAUAUAUACUCCUAAAUUUGAUCAAAGUGAUAAUAAAUAGACAGCUCUCGCUCUCUUUAUUCUCACAUUUAACUAAUUCAAAAGAAUUUCAAUAUUUAUCUAAAACAAAAAAGUUUACUCUAAAUUGAUGUUUAACAGUAAAAAAUUGUUUUGUUUUCUCCCUAAAGUGUCUGUAAAUAUCUGGUUUCAACUGUGAACAUACUGCUGUGUAAUGAAAUUCCUCUUGUUUUGCAUAGAAAUAUAUUGAACAACAUACAAAGC
Molecule: long non-coding RNA, 2483 nt
Organism: Astatotilapia calliptera (eastern happy)
Lineage: Eukaryota; Metazoa; Chordata; Actinopteri; Cichliformes; Cichlidae
Source: Ensembl